This 253-nucleotide ribosomal RNA is filed under the name uncultured bacterium. RNAcentral describes it as "partial 16S ribosomal RNA". It matches the Rfam family "Bacterial small subunit ribosomal RNA", at positions 524 to 776 of the family's 1533-position model. The record is from RNAcentral.
UACGUAGGGGGCAAGCGUUAUCCGGAUUUACUGGGUGUAAAGGGAGCGUAGACGGCUGUACAAGUCUGAAGUGAAAGCCCGUGGCUCAACCGCGGAACUGCUUUGGAAACUGUAAAGCUGGAGUACUGGAGAGGCAGGCGGAAUUCCUAGUGUAGCGGUGAAAUGCGUAGAUAUUAGGAGGAACACCAGUGGCGAAGGCGGCCUGCUGGACAGAAACUGACGUUGGGGCUCGAAAGCGUGGGGAGCAAACAGG